AUGGAAGCCAGCAACAUCGGUGACACCCUUCAGAUCAGGGGCUACCUGGAAGGAAAAGCAGCAAUACUGUACCUACCAGUAUCACCCAGAGCACCACAGGGAGACUUGGGGUGUGUCUCUAGCUACCAGAAAUUGCCAGCAGUGCACCCCACAGCUUCUCCAGGACCAGCUGGCUACAUUUCCCUUGGAAAGUUAGCUGAUAGCACUUGGCAUCAACUAUGCUCAGAAGGAAGAAUAGUGCUUACUAUCUCCAGUCUAUGUUUUACAAAUCUAACAGAUGGGGGAAGAGAUGCCCUAAUGUCUGAUCCAAUACAGAGGGUCCAGUGGUCCCUGACCAGGCAGAGACUUUAUUUCAGGUAACGGACUCUGGUUUGGGUUUGAAAUGAGAUAUAUAGGAGGGAUGGGGAUCAAAAAUACCUGUUUCCUUCAGGGUAUUUAUUUUUU
RNAcentral lists this long non-coding RNA (444 nucleotides) under Mustela putorius furo (domestic ferret). RNAcentral describes it as "lncRNA (ENSMPUG00000029888.1)". The record is from RNAcentral. Lineage: Eukaryota; Metazoa; Chordata; Mammalia; Carnivora; Mustelidae.